UACGGAGGGUGCGAGCGUUAAUCGGAAUAACUGGGCGUAAAGGGCACGCAGGCGGGCUUUUAAGUGAGAUGUGAAAUCCCCGGGCUUAACCUGGGAAUAGCAUUUCAGACUGGGAGUCUAGAGUACUUUAGGGGGGGGGAGAAUUCCACGUGUAGCGGUGAAAUGCGUAGAGAUGGGGAGGAAUACCGACGGCGAAGGCGACCUUCUGGCCAUAAACUGACGCUGAGGGACGAAAGCGUGGGUAGCAAACGGG
This 253-nucleotide ribosomal RNA is filed under the name uncultured bacterium. Its description in RNAcentral is "partial 16S ribosomal RNA". It matches the Rfam family "Bacterial small subunit ribosomal RNA", at positions 524 to 776 of the family's 1533-position model. The record is from RNAcentral.